UACGGGGGGAGCAAGCGUUGUUCGGAUUUACUGGGCGUAAAGGGCGCGUAGGCGGCCACCGCAAGUCGACUGUGAAAUCUCCGGGCUUAACCCGGAAAGGUCAGCCGAUACUGCGGGGCUAGAGUGCAGAAGGGGCAACUGGAAUUCUCGGUGUAGCGGUGAAAUGCGUAGAUAUCUGGAGGAACACCGGUGGCGAAGGCGGCAUCCUGGACCAACACUGACACUGAGGAGCGAAAGCCAGGGAAGCAAACGGG
RNAcentral lists this ribosomal RNA (254 nucleotides) under uncultured bacterium. RNAcentral's name for it is "partial 16S ribosomal RNA". It matches the Rfam family "Bacterial small subunit ribosomal RNA", at positions 524 to 776 of the family's 1533-position model. The record is from RNAcentral.